UACGGAGAGUGCGAGCGUUGUUCGGAAUCAUUGGGCGUAAAGGGCGUCUAGGCGGUUUGGCAAGUCAGAUGUGAAAGCCCUCGGCUUAACCGGGGAUGUGCAUUUGAAACUGCUAAGCUUGAGUGUCGGAGGGGGUAGCGGAAUUCCCGGUGUAGAGGUGAAAUUCGUAGAUAUCGGGAGGAACACCAGUGGCGAAGGCGGCUACCUGGCCGAACACUGACGCUGAAGCGCGAAAGCGUGGGGAGCAAACAGG
Molecule: ribosomal RNA, 253 nt
Filed under: uncultured bacterium
Lineage: Bacteria
Description: partial 16S ribosomal RNA
Rfam family: Bacterial small subunit ribosomal RNA
Source: RNAcentral